UGCGCUUACAAUCCGUCAGAGCCCUCUCUUUGAGUGGGGUGAUGGCGUGCCUUUUGAAGAAUGAGCCUGCGAGUCAGGGACAUGUCGCGAGGUUAACCCGGGUGGGGUAGCCGUAGCGAAAGCGAGUCUGAAUAGGGCGUAUCCAAGUCGUAGGGCUUGGUGUAGUGGUGUGUUCUGGACCCGAAGCGGAGUGAUCUACCCAUGGCCAGGGUGAAGCGCGGGUAAGACCGCGUGGAGG
This 238-nucleotide ribosomal RNA is filed under the name Mycolicibacterium rhodesiae. RNAcentral describes it as "partial 23S ribosomal RNA". It matches the Rfam family "Bacterial large subunit ribosomal RNA", at positions 559 to 772 of the family's 2925-position model. The record is from RNAcentral. Lineage: Bacteria; Bacillati; Actinomycetota; Actinomycetes; Mycobacteriales; Mycobacteriaceae.